This 446-nucleotide ribosomal RNA is filed under the name uncultured bacterium. Its description in RNAcentral is "partial 16S ribosomal RNA". It matches the Rfam family "Bacterial small subunit ribosomal RNA", at positions 329 to 792 of the family's 1533-position model. The record is from RNAcentral.
AACCAGACUCCUACGGGAGGCAGCAGUGGGGGAUAUUGCACAAUGGGGGAAACCCUGAUGCAGCGACGCCGCGUGGGUGAAGAAGCGCCUCGGCGCGUAAAGCCCUGUCAGCAGGGAAGAAAAUGACGGUACCUGAAGAAGAAGCCCCGGCUAACUACGUGCCAGCAGCCGCGGUAAUACGUAGGGGGCAAGCGUUAUCCGGAUUUACUGGGUGUAAAGGGAGCGUAGGUGGCGUGCCAAGUCAGGAGUGAAAACCCAGGGCCCAACCCUGGGACUGCUCUUGAAACUGGCAGGCUUGAGUGCUGGAGAGGUAAGCGGAAUUCCUAGUGUAGCGGUGAAAUGCGUAGAUAUCAGGAGGAACACCGGUGGCGAAGGCGGCCUGCUGGACUGCAACUGACGUUGAGGCCCGAAAGCGUGGGGAGCAAACAGGAUUAGAUACCCUAGUA